MicroRNA precursor from Homo sapiens (human), 72 nucleotides. It matches the Rfam family "mir-3689 microRNA precursor family". Lineage: Eukaryota; Metazoa; Chordata; Mammalia; Primates; Hominidae. The record is from Rfam.
GGGAGGUGUGAUAUCGUGGUUCCUGGGAGGUGUGAUAUCGUGGUUCCUGGGAGGUGUGAUCUGGUGCUCCCU